GUCUAUGGCCAUACCACCCUGAAUGUACUCAAUCUCAUCUGAUCUCAGAAGCUAAGCAGGGUCAGGCCUUGUUAAUACUUGGAUGGAAGACAGAUCUUCAGAAGAGACUGCUCAGAAACAAGCAAUUUGAAGACA
This 135-nucleotide ribosomal RNA is filed under the name Castor canadensis (American beaver). The record is from RNAcentral. Lineage: Eukaryota; Metazoa; Chordata; Mammalia; Rodentia; Castoridae.